RNAcentral lists this ribosomal RNA (412 nucleotides) under uncultured bacterium. Its description in RNAcentral is "bacterial SSU rRNA". It matches the Rfam family "Bacterial small subunit ribosomal RNA", at positions 30 to 428 of the family's 1533-position model. The record is from RNAcentral.
AGUGAACGCUGGCGGCAGGCCUAACACAUGCAAGUCGAGCGGCAGCGCGUCCGACCACCCUCGGGUGGUCGGAUGGCGGCGAGCGGCGGACGGGUGAGGAAUGCAUCGGAAUCUGCCUCGUUGUGGGGGAUAACGUAGGGAAACUUACGCUAAUACCGCAUACGACCUACGGGUGAAAGUGGGGGACCUUCGGGCCUCACGCGAUGAGAUGAGCCGAUGCCGGAUUAGCUAGUUGGCGGGGUAAAGGCCCACCAAGGCGACGAUCCGUAGCUGGUCUGAGAGGAUGAUCAGCCACACUGGAACUGAGACACGGUCCAGACUCCUACGGGAGGCAGCAGUGGGGGAAUAUUGGACAAUGGGGGGCAACCCUGAUCCAGCCAUGCCGCGUGUGUGAAGAAGGCCUCGGUUGUAA